RNAcentral lists this ribosomal RNA (1817 nucleotides) under Escherichia coli. Its description in RNAcentral is "partial 23S ribosomal RNA". It matches the Rfam family "Bacterial large subunit ribosomal RNA", at positions 344 to 2147 of the family's 2925-position model. The record is from RNAcentral. Lineage: Bacteria; Pseudomonadati; Pseudomonadota; Gammaproteobacteria; Enterobacterales; Enterobacteriaceae.
GGAAAGGCGCGCGAUACAGGGUGACAGCCCCGUACACAAAAAUGCACAUGCUGUGAGCUCGAUGAGUAGGGCGGGACACGUGGUAUCCUGUCUGAAUAUGGGGGGACCAUCCUCCAAGGCUAAAUACUCCUGACUGACCGAUAGUGAACCAGUACCGUGAGGGAAAGGCGAAAAGAACCCCGGCGAGGGGAGUGAAAAAGAACCUGAAACCGUGUACGUACAAGCAGUGGGAGCACAGAGCAAUCUGUGUGACUGCGUACCUUUUGUAUAAUGGGUCAGCGACUUAUAUUCUGUAGCAAGGUUAACCGAAUAGGGGAGCCGAAGGGAAACCGAGUCUUAACUGGGCGUUAAGUUGCAGGGUAUAGACCCGAAACCCGGUGAUCUAGCCAUGGGCAGGUUGAAGGUUGGGUAACACUAACUGGAGGACCGAACCGACUAAUGUUGAAAAAUUAGCGGAUGACUUGUGGCUGGGGGUGAAAGGCCAAUCAAACCGGGAGAUAGCUGGUUCUCCCCGAAAGCUAUUUAGGUAGCGCCUCGUGAAUUCAUCUCCGGGGGUAGAGCACUGUUUCGGCAAGGGGGUCAUCCCGACUUACCAACCCGAUGCAAACUGCGAAUACCGGAGAAUGUUAUCACGGGAGACACACGGCGGGUGCUAACGUCCGUCGUGAAGAGGGAAACAACCCAGACCGCCAGCUAAGGUCCCAAAGUCAUGGUUAAGUGGGAAACGAUGUGGGAAGGCCCAGACAGCCAGGAUGUUGGCUUAGAAGCAGCCAUCAUUUAAAGAAAGCGUAAUAGCUCACUGGUCGAGUCGGCCUGCGCGGAAGAUGUAACGGGGCUAAACCAUGCACCGAAGCUGCGGCAGCGACGCUUAUUCGUUGUUGGGUAGGGGAGCGUUCUGUAAGCCUGUGAAGGUGUACUGUGAGGUAUGCUGGAGGUAUCAGAAGUGCGAAUGCUGACAUAAGUAACGAUAAAGCGGGUGAAAAGCCCGCUCGCCGGAAGACCAAGGGUUCCUGUCCAACGUUAAUCGGGGCAGGGUGAGUCGACCCCUAAGGCGAGGCCGAAAGGCGUAGUCGAUGGGAAACAGGUUAAUAUUCCUGUACUUGGUGUUACUGCGAAGGGGGGACGGAGAAGGCUAUGUUGGCCGGGCGACGGUUGUCCCGGUUUAAGCGUGUAGGCUGGUUUUCCAGGCAAAUCCGGAAAAUCAAGGCUGAGGCGUGAUGACGAGGCACUACGGUGCUGAAGCAACAAAUGCCCUGCUUCCAGGAAAAGCCUCUAAGCAUCAGGUAACAUCAAAUCGUACCCCAAACCGACACAGGUGGUCAGGUAGAGAAUACCAAGGCGCUUGAGAGAACUCGGGUGAAGGAACUAGGCAAAAUGGUGCCGUAACUUCGGGAGAAGGCACGCUGAUAUGUAGGUGAAGUCCCUCGCGGAUGGAGCUGAAAUCAGUCGAAGAUACCAGCUGGCUGCAACUGUUUAUUAAAAACACAGCACUGUGCAAACACGAAAGUGGACGUAUACGGUGUGACGCCUGCCCGGUGCCGGAAGGUUAAUUGAUGGGGUCAGCGCAAGCGAAGCUCUUGAUCGAAGCCCCGGUAAACGGCGGCCGUAACUAUAACGGUCCUAAGGUAGCGAAAUUCCUUGUCGGGUAAGUUCCGACCUGCACGAAUGGCGUAAUGAUGGCCAGGCUGUCUCCACCCGAGACUCAGUGAAAUUGAACUCGCUGUGAAGAUGCAGUGUACCCGCGGCAAGACGGAAAGACCCCGUGAACCUUUACUAUAGCUUGACACUGAACAUUGAGCCUUGAUGUGUAGGAUAGG